Long non-coding RNA from Nematolebias whitei (Rio pearlfish), 206 nucleotides. RefSeq lists it as uncharacterized. NCBI's taxonomy places the organism in Eukaryota, Metazoa, Chordata, Actinopteri, Cyprinodontiformes, Rivulidae. The record is from RefSeq and is a predicted model, not a curated record. The transcript is spliced from 3 exons.
GGGCUCAUGCAGAUCAGUAAGAGGUUCCACGUGGGGAAGGGAGAACCUUUCAGCAGGGACCACAUCGACGAGGGAACCACGUACCUGAUCCACCUCAUCAAGACCAUGAAGAACCGGGAGGAGACCUGGACCCGGGAGCAGCACCUCAAAGGAGCGCUGGUCGGGUACAUGAUCGGGAUCGAAGGCGUUCCUCGAGACCAUCCUGA